CGCCGGCCGAGACAGCGCAGACAGACCGACCGACUGGGGUGUUUCGUGAAUGUGAGAGGUAAGCGCCGCGGCCUGCAUUUCCAGAGCUGCCCUUCGCCUGGUUCGUGGCGCCUUGUGACCCCUGCCACCUGCAAGUCGGUAACCGCGCUGUGCUCCUGUGCUGCGGCCUGUGGCUGGACUGCCUGGGAUGCCCUGCCUGCUGCUGCCCGACUGGCUGGCAAGAUGAAGCUCUCCCUGGUGGCCGCGAUGCUGCUG
Homo sapiens (human) is the source of this 255-nucleotide regulatory RNA element. It matches the Rfam family "bip internal ribosome entry site (IRES)". Rfam says of the family: This family represents the bip internal ribosome entry site (IRES). BiP protein expression has been found to be significantly enhanced by the heat shock response due to IRES-dependent translation. It is thought that this translational mechanism is essential for the survival of cells under stress. The record is from Rfam. Lineage: Eukaryota; Metazoa; Chordata; Mammalia; Primates; Hominidae.